RNAcentral lists this ribosomal RNA (450 nucleotides) under uncultured bacterium. RNAcentral's name for it is "partial 16S ribosomal RNA". It matches the Rfam family "Bacterial small subunit ribosomal RNA", at positions 354 to 796 of the family's 1533-position model. The record is from RNAcentral.
GUGGGGAAUUUUGGACAAUGGGCGCAAGCCUGAUCCAGCAAUGCCGCGUGCAGGAAGAAGGCCUUCGGGUUGUAAACUGCUUUUGUACGGAACGAAAAGGCUCUGGUUAAUACCUGGGGCUCAUGACGGUACCGUAAGAAUAAGCACCGGCUAACUACGUGCCAGCAGCCGCGGUAAUACGUAGGGUGCAAGCGUUAAUCGGAAUUACUGGGCGUAAAGCGUGCGCAGGCGGGUUUGUAAGACAGACGUGAAAUCCCCGGGCUGAACCUGGGAAUGGCGUUUGUGACUGCAAAGCUGGAGUGCGGCAGAGGGGGAUGGAAUUCCGCGUGUAGCAGUGAAAUGCGUAGAUAUGCGGAGGAACACCGAUGGCGAAGGCAGUCCCCUGGGCCUGUACUGACGCUCAUGCACGAAAGCGUGGGGAGCAAACAGGAUUAGAUACCCGAGUAGUCC